GCCCCUCCUGCCAUCUUGAUUUGGCCUUCUCUUUGUCUUCUGGAGUAGGAUAUCUUUUUUGAUAGCUCAUAGUUUAUUUGAUUGAAUGUUGUUCAUCAGUUGGUUAUAAUUUUAUUCCUUUUAUGAGAGAAGGUGAUCUCCAGUCCUUCUAUUCUACCAUUUUAAUCCCGUCUCCCACCAUUAUAGUACUUAUUGGGUGUUUCUGAGUCUUCCUUAUUUUGAGUGCUUUCAAGUAUAAUUCCAGGGGUUAGACUUGCAGAGCAGAAGUACUCAAAUAGGAUUAAAUGUAUACAAAACAAUUUCUUGCCCUAAAAAUAAUAAUUAACAUCACCAAAAUAAUAGAUAUUUAUGGAUUUUCAUGUUGAGCUAGCAACAGGCCUUACAAACGUCUCCUCUCUUUUACUUGAAAUAAAAGAUUUAGGUGAUUGUGCUGGAUUGUUCAUACUCUGCACCUGUGUCAUUUAAAAUACCAGUGCUGGUCCAGAGCCCUUCUAGGGGGAAUAGAAGCCUGAGGUUUGUGUCACCUAUCUAAGGCACACUUGAACCUAAGGGAUGGGAAGCCUCCUCCUCCAGGUGUCCUUCCUGCUCACACCCAUUAGAGAACACCCAGCCUUUAUCCUGAGAGAAACUACAGAGCCCUGGGACCUGGGGAUGCAAGUGCACAAGAAGUGGGGGUGCUAUUCUGAGUUAAGGAGGGUCCCUUGGGCCUCUUUCAAGAUAGAGGUUUCAGGUUUGCAGCCAUAUUGGAGGGAUACUCAGAGUGUAAUAAAUGAACACUGAGAAAGUUUGUGAAAUUCAGGAGUUCUGUUCCCUGGAUUAGGGUUCAUGAAUUGGGGACUUCUUUGGAGUCAGAACCUUAAACUAACUCUCAGUUAUUUCCUCACUUAUGAGAAUGGAAGUUUGAGGUAUGGAGCUUUUCAGUAUUCCCAAGGAAGAGAAGCGUGGGCAGAGCUCCCAGAAUUUACUCCUGUGGCUGCUCAGGUGUCUCCACCCCCCUUCUCCAAGGGACUGACCCAUCCCACGGGUUGUCUCUCAACUAGGAGGGUCUGGAUGUGGCUUUCCUUCUGUCCCAUGGGAAGCCACAUCCAGAUCCAGGCUGCUGGCCUGUCCUGGCACCAGUAUUUUUUUUCCCAUUGGUUUCCUUUAUCCAUUGAAUAUUACACCCAUUUGAUUCUUUAUACUUUCCUUAGCUCUGGAGUUCUAGUCCAGAAUUUAUUGCCAGGCACCCAACUUGGUACCAAAGAAAAAUAAAGGGCAGCUCAUCCUCAAAAGACUCAGUUGUGGCUUUUAGGGAAGUAUCUUAUAGACAAAGGGAGGAAGAGGAUCAUGUUGCAUUAUUCUCUGAUUGGUUGAUGGUGGGGUAACAGGGUGUUAUUUCAUGAGUUAACAGCAUCACCUUUUGGUGCCAGUCUGGUGUCCACCUGCUUGUGGUCAGCAUGCAGUUAAUGUCUUCCACCUGGUGGGAGUUUUAGUAUUGAAAAACAACUCAAAGACGUGGCUCAGAUCAUUACCUAUACCCUUGAGGAGGAACUAAGGUCCUUGAUUUUGUUUUUUUGGCUAAACCAUGUUAUUGUCUUACUUGACUCUUUUCCUUUGUUUCAGCAUCCCCCCCUUCUCUAAUUAAAUUUGUUCUUUUGAAGACUAGGAGGCUAAAGUUUUCCUAUAAGCAUGAGGUAGGGGACACAGGGUUCUAUCCCCACAGGGUCCUGCUUGGGUCCAAAUAGACUGCACAUUAGAUGAUAACAUAAUAUUCCUAACUUUUGAAAUGUGGUAUUGAUAUUAUGGUUACACAAUAAAAUGUUUUGAUUUUUAGUGAUUGUUGCUGAAAUAUUUAAUGGUUAAGUGUCAUGAUAUUUUCAACUAUCAAAUCAUUCAUAAAAAAGUAUAUUGACAUCUAUAUGCUGUCAGUUCUGCUAUAAAGUGUUUUGAAAACAUGAUCUUUUUCUGGGCAUUGAUAAAUUUGGAAACAAUUUGAACAUAAUGUAAAUAUCAUGUUAUAUGCAGUUGCCCCUACAAGAUAUACAAGAGGGCUUAGGUGCGUAAAACUGCCCCCAGCUGAACCUAGAAAGGCAGGCAUACACAAAACAUGUGCACACAGCACAAAACUCUAUAAGCUCAAUCAGUGCCCCUCAGAUGUUGUGAGGGAUCCCCAUAUCCAUUUAGGGUUCUGACUCUGAUUUAAGGUAACUCUCCUUCAUCCUCUUCACAAUAACUCACAAGAUACAAACCUUCUAAUGACCACUUCUGCAAAUAAAAUACAGACCUCUUUCAGGGCAAAAUGCUCUAUUUAUUGCAGUGUUUUUCAAUUUCUUAACCAUUCAACACAAGUAAAGUGCUGUUUUAUUGCACUCCUUUUUUUUAAAUGUCAGUGACAAGUUGUGAGUGUUGAGCUCCAAUCCUGUUUUUCCCAGAAGCCCUGAGGUUUUCAUUGUGUGAUUUUGCCUAGCAGUGGUUAGGAACACCUAUGAACAAAUAAUUAAACCACUGGAGGGAACAGAUUCCAGCCACUUGGCUGAGGCUCAUUAGGUUCAGGUGAUCUUCUGUCUGGUUGUCAAUCUGGGAAAGGAGGUGGGUAGGUUCUUAUGAACUGCCCAAUCAGGGGCUCAGCAGGGGAAGGUGGGUGCGGCAACAGUUAGCCAACCACUUGGAGGAUGGUUUCAGUGCUCAGGAUUGCAUUUCACCUGCUCAGUUGGGGCAGUCUCUGCUGCAGCGUCUCUGGCCCUGUGAGCUGCAUGGGUGGCAGGAGUGGAAGGGAGGAUGCCAGGGUGGACCCAGAAGCCAGGAAAUGGUAGCUCUCCUUCCACUUCUUCAUUAUAACUCAUGGAUUUCAAGCUUUAUGAUGAUGAUUUCUGCAAACAAAUGGCAGGCCUCUUUCAAGGGUACGACCCCUGGGAUGCCAGGAGAAGUGAUCUCCCCUGGAGCCAGUGGACCAGUUGAUCCGUAGUGGACUAGCCCUCCUGGCAUGCCAGGGUGAGGACCCCGAGAGCACAGUGGAACCCAGUGAAGCCCAGGAACCAGCCAAGGGAGCACUGCCCAUCAGACUGGGCACUUGGAUCACAGCGUAUGUGGCAUCUCUGAUGAAAUUUCUGGGGUCAGACAUGGUCAAUAUGGAUGGCAUGAAUAUUGUCCCCAGCCCUUUGGAAGACUCUGGUAAGGCUCUCUCACUCUGAAGAGGAAUAUCAUAAUCAAUUAUCCUAGAGCAUUUUGUCGGGAACUCUGGGUGAGGUAAAUUAUUAUUUAG
Molecule: non-coding RNA, 3241 nt
Organism: Sus scrofa (pig)
Lineage: Eukaryota; Metazoa; Chordata; Mammalia; Artiodactyla; Suidae
Source: RefSeq, a predicted model, not a curated record